GUGGGUGCAAGCGUUGUCCGGAAUUAUUGGGCGUAAAGCGCGCGCAGGCGGUUUUUUGGGUCUGAUGUGAAAGCCCACGGCUCAACCGUGGAGGGUCAUUGGAAACUGGGGGACUUGAGUACAGAAGAGGAAAGCGGAAUUCCAAGUGUAGCGGUGAAAUGCGUAGAGAUUUGGAGGAACACCAGUGGCGAAGGCGGCUUUCUGGUCUGUAACUGACGCUGAGGCGCGAAAGCGUGGGGAGCAAACAGGAUUAGAUACCCUGGUAGUCCACGCCGUAAACGAUGAGUGCUAAGUGUUAGGGGGUUUCCCGCCCCCCUUAGUGCUGCAGCUAACGCAUUAAGCACUCCGCCUGGGGAGUACGGCCGCAAGGCUG
RNAcentral lists this ribosomal RNA (373 nucleotides) under uncultured organism. RNAcentral describes it as "partial 16S ribosomal RNA". It matches the Rfam family "Bacterial small subunit ribosomal RNA", at positions 528 to 896 of the family's 1533-position model. The record is from RNAcentral.